UGGCGGGAGGGUGAGUAUGUCUGGGAACUGCCUGAUGGGAGGGGAUAACUACUGGAAACGGUAGCUAAUACCGCAUAACGUCGCAAGACCAAAGAGGGGGACCUUCGGGCCUCUUGCCAUCGGAUGUGCCCAGAUGGGAUUAGCUAGUAGGUGGGGUAACGGCUCACCUAGGCGACGAUCCCUAGCUGGUCUGAGAGGAUGACCAGCCACACUGGAACUGAGACACGGUCCAG
Molecule: ribosomal RNA, 233 nt
Filed under: uncultured bacterium
Lineage: Bacteria
Description: partial 16S ribosomal RNA
Rfam family: Bacterial small subunit ribosomal RNA
Source: RNAcentral